GUCGCUUUCUCUCUGUUGGCGCCAACAAGACAGGGCUUCUACUUGAGGACCGCCGAAAGCUAGCCAUGGCUCGGAUUGGGCUACUUGCUUCCUGUUUUUCCUCUGCUUCCUAGCAGGAGGUAAGCCCAACCAAUGUUGUGGCUCUGUAAGGGUUAACCGAUGCCUGUUUUAAACUCUUUUCCAUGGCUUAUAUUGUACCGUUUUAUGUUGUGUUCCGGUAAACUGGUUUGAUGUAUUUUUUAAUGACAUAAUGGGAUAUAAGUAUUUUUAUAUUUAAAUAAUAAAUUAGAGGUAAAGGUAAAGGACCCCUGGACGUUAAGUCCAGUCAAAGGCAACUAUGGGGUUGUGGCGCUCAUCUUGCUUUCAGACCGAGGGAGCCGGCGUUUGUCCACAAACAGCUUUCUGGGUCAUGUGGCCAGCAGGACUAAACCUCUUCUGGCACAACGGAACACUGUGAUGGAAACCAGAGCGCACGGAAAUGCUGUUUACCUUCCUGCCACAGCAGUACCUAUUUAUCUACUUGCACUGGAGUGCUUUCGAACUGCUAGGUUAGCAGGAGCUGGGACAGAGGAAUGGGAGCUCACUCCGUUGCAGGGAUUCGAACCACCAACCUUCCAGUUGGCAAGCCCAAGAGGCUCAGUGGUUUAGACCACAGCGCCACCCGCGUCCCUGGUGAUGCUGGUCCUCAUUUUCAGUGUUGGAGAUAGUAUGCCCCCUGGAUACCUGUUUGCUAGGAGUCACAGGUAGGGAGAAAGCCAACGCUCUCUGAUCGUGCUUGGGGGCUUGCCAUAGGCAUCCCAUAGGCCACUGUGAGAAAAGGAUGGUUCUCUGGAUAGAAACAUGGAAGGACAGCUCAGUUGGUUAGAGCGUGGUGCUGAUAACACCAAGGUCGCAGGUUGGAUCCCCUUAAGGGGCAUUUGCACAUUCCUGCAUUGCAGGGGGUUGGACUAGAUCAGGCACCCCCAACCUGCGGCCCUCCAGAUGUUUUGGCCUACAACUCCCAUGAUCCCUAGCUAACAGGACCAGUGGUCAGGGGUGAUGGGAAUUGUAGUCCAAAACAUCUGGAGGGCCGAAGGUUGGGGAUGCCUGGACUAGAUGAUCCUCAGGAUUCUUUCCAACUCUAUGAUUCUGUGACUUUUUCCUCUUCUCUUUUUUUUAAAAAAAUUAUUUUUAUUCAAUUUUUCCAAUACAAAAUUUAUACAAUUCAUACAUCUUUUUUUUAUAAAUCCAUUCCCAAUUUGACUUCCGUCAACUUGACUGAUACUCCUUCCCUUCUUAAUUUCUUACACAUUUCUAAAUCCUUACUUCCAUUAUUUUUAUAGAUUAAAUCUUAUCUUACUCACAUUCUAACAUUUCUUCUUACAGAGCUUCAUUAAAGCUUACAAGCGUUAUUUGAUUAUCACUUAAUUUAUGCAUAUACUCUGUAAAUUUUUCCCAGUCUUCUAUAAAUCUCUGAUCUCGUCAAUUUCGGAUCCUUCCCAUCAGUCUAUCAAGUUCUGCAUAGUCCGUCAUCUUCAUUCUCCAUUCGUCUAGUGUAGGUAGCUCCUCUUGCUUCCAUUUCUGAGCCAUCAAUAUCGACUUUUUCCUCUUCUCAAUUAAGAUGGGAAAUCAAUAGGAAAUGGGUCUGGAAGGGAAGGGAAUAGGGUAUGAACUAAUGAACAUGCAAGAAGUACGGUAAGUACAGUGGUACCUCGGGUUAAGUACUUAAUUCGUUCCGGAGGUCCGUUCUUAACCGGAAACUGUUCUUAACCUGAAGCACCACUUUAGCUAAUGGGGCCUCCUGCUGCUGCUGCGCUGCUAGAGCACGAUUUCUGUUCUCAUCCUGAAGGUCUUAACCUGAAGCACUAUUUCUGGGUUAGCGGAGCCUGUAACCUGAAGCGUAUGUAACCUGAAGCGUAUGUAACCCUAGGUAUCACUGUAAUUAUGGAUUAUUAUUACCUUACUAAGGGAACUUCUUGGAGAUAAAAUCGAAUACACUGGGCCGGAGGAAGAAUAUUCUGAGUCUCUAGUGAUAACAACAAUUGAAGAGCACUUUUUGGACCUUUUGCGUGGAAAGGAAAACGAACAAAUUUGGAGACUGAAGAUUGAGGAAGCACCGCCUAACAGAUUGAGGAAUACCCGGACCUUGUCUUGGAGUUCUGAAUGCUUUGAAUAAUCUGAAUAUACAUA
This 2169-nucleotide long non-coding RNA is filed under the name Podarcis lilfordi (Lilford's wall lizard). Lineage: Eukaryota; Metazoa; Chordata; Lepidosauria; Squamata; Lacertidae. The record is from RNAcentral.